This 441-nucleotide ribosomal RNA is filed under the name uncultured soil bacterium. RNAcentral's name for it is "bacterial SSU rRNA". It matches the Rfam family "Bacterial small subunit ribosomal RNA", at positions 26 to 518 of the family's 1533-position model. The record is from RNAcentral.
AGAACGAACGCUGGCGGCAGGCCUAACACAUGCAAGUCGAACGCUGUAGCCAUACAGAGUGGCAGACGGGUGAGUAACGCGUGGGAACCUUCCCAGUGGUGCGGAAUAGCUCAGGGAAACUUGAGGUAAUACCGCAUAAGCCCCUAGGGGGAAAGAUUUAUCGCCAUUGGAUGGGCCCGCGUCGGAUUAGCUAGUUGGUGAGGUAAUGGCUCACCAAGGCAACGAUCCGUAGCUGGUUUGAGAGAAUGACCAGCCACACUGGGACUGAGACACGGCCCAGACUCCUACGGGAGCAGCAGUGGGAAUCUGGACAAUGGGCGCAAGCCUGAUCCAGCCAUGCCGCGUGAGUGACGAGGCCUUAGGGUGUAAAGCUCGUUUGCCGGGGUACAUAAGUGACGGUACCCGGAGAAUAAGUCCCGGAUACUUCGUGCCAGCAGCCGC